UGAUCUAGGGAGAAAUGAGAGGUAUGCUUAAGUACAGUAACAGUCCCAGAGCAUUAACAAGCUGCGAACUCCAACAUUAGGCAGGGACUCCUUCAAAGUUUUAGGUUGAAAGAGGAAGAGCAGAAAUGCUGUUGCUCCUCUCCAACGGGACUAGCUGCACACAGGAAUAAACAAGACACUGCAUACAGGCAAACUUCAUGUGAAACUUUUACAAGACCUGGCACAUGGUUACUGUCGUAGAGGGAGGCCCAGACACCUCUUGUUUCUCCCCAGGGUUUUUCUGCUGGACAGGACAAGAUGUACCUCCCAGGGAGCUCAACAGUGUUUCACUCUGAUGUAUGGUGCUGGGGGAGGAUGCAGCCCCUCCUGAUCACAGGAACAUCUGGCUCAGCAUGGGCAAAUCGGAUCCCUCAAACUUAUCCAACUUCUGCGUGCAUGCCUGUACCAGUGCAUGCUCCGUGAGUGAUUACAUCUUCAAACAGGGAGCUGUGACCAGACCUGCACUUGGGAUGCAGAUAGCAAUACUGGAGUCUGGGGACUGCUCUACCAGGACUUGAAGACCUGGCUUUCUGACUAAGAUCUCUCCAAGCAGUUUCUGAGCCUGGCUGUAAAAGCACAGUGAAGCCUAGCGCAGCAGAGCCCAACGUGAUUGUCAGUUCCAGCAUGGGUCUAAUUCCUUUUAACAUUUCACACAGCUCUACUGGAAGCAGCAACACGGUGAGUCUGUGUCUAGGAAUGCACUCUGGUCUCCCACAUUCUCUAUAUGUUGCAUGCUGAAAAUGGGCCAGUGCUCAAAAUCCAGCGCUCCCCUGGUUAUCAGCACCACCCCACAACACACACAUACCUCUGGUGCAUCGCAGAGCCUCUCCCCUGCCCAGUAUCACCUACAGACAAAAGCUUUCCCCCACAGAACUGCUACCAUGGGCUGAACUCCCUCCAAGGGGGAUUCCACGUGACCUCAUAAAUCCCAACUUUUCAGACAAAACCUUUGAAGUUUUGAUCCACAGAUGUGAUAAGCAGCCAGCUAGUCUGUGAACGAAGCCAGCAGAUAAAGCCCAACUUCAAAGUAAUAAAAACCACCCAGACAGCCAAGCAACUGGGAAGGGAUUUUGCUUGAGACUUCCUUAAAGCCAAAGGACACAUAGUCCAAAUGUCUAUUUAAACAGGAAACAUCUUAUCAAAAUGAUUCUACUUUUGCAACAAGCCCUAGCAGCAGUCAGUAACUUACCUCUUCCUACACAGAGCUCUUGUUACUUCUUGCUUUUUGACUAUAUGACCUAUUUGAAAACAUAAUAGCCCUGAUAACAGGGCUCUAGAAAAGGUGUUAAUCUAUUCAUUAGUUCUAGACCUGAAUUCCUGCCAGAAUGAGUGUACUUCAGAAAUGCUGAUAAACAGGUGGUGGUGGUCAGACCUUUUCUGUGUAAUUUUACUGAUACUAUCUCUGAGAGCCAAAAUGCAAGGGAGCAUGAGCUGAAGUCAAAGAUAUCCAUACUUCUCUCCUGCAAAUGCUGACAGCAUCUCCACUACAAACACACAGCCACCACAGGGGUUUGCUUUCCUUAAUAUGGUUUGGAAUUGCAUAGUCAUUUUUGCCAGAGAUAAAAGCCUGAACACUGUAACUGGCAAAUGAAGGGGACAAGUAAAAACUUCAACAAACCCUUAACACGAAGUUUAUUGCAAAUUGAGUUGCAAAAUGUCAUAGAUGUUAUCAUUUUAUCCCCACAGAACGGCAUCAUAGCUGUUGUGAUAUUCAAGUCAUUAUGAUCUUUAGACAGUAGGGGUUAGGUUGCAUAUCUAGACACCCUAUUUACCAUGGUUCAUGCUGUCCACAGACAGAUUCAUCAACAGAAUAGCAUGGUUACAGACAGAUGCAUUGCUCAGCAUAUCUACAAGCCCUAAGAUAUACAAAUUUAUCCUGGCACAGGCAGGCACUUCAGUAUGUGUGUGGGAUUGGUAUAAGCUGGGGAAAGGCAUCUGCUUGAUGCCUCAGGAGGCCGCAGCAAGUCUUUGUUUCAGCAUGGGUGCAGUUUGGAGGCAUUCCAGCUCCUUCAAUACAAUCCCAACACCUCAUUGUAUUUCCAAGGCACUUACACCUAACAUAUGCUUCACUGGUGUUGAAAGACAGAGUCAAGCUCCUGACAUCAGGUACUGAAACAAAUACUGUUUUGGUAUGCAUGUACCUCUGAGUGAAAGCUCUUGCAUGCAGCUCUUGAGUAAACUAAAACGACUAGUGAAGUGAAACUCAUCUUUGUCACAGCACCUUACUUCUAAACAGAGGCAGGGCUUUAGUCAGAGCGAUGCCACCUUAGUAUCCAACACCACUAAGCACAUUAGGACAGAGGGAGCACUUUUACCUCCAGCAUCCUUAGCUAAUGCCUGCAGGCUUACUGACUUCGUACAGGCUGAGAAGCAAAGUAAAGAAAUGCAGCCUACCGAAACUUCAUCGCUUAUACAUAUUUUUAGAAGCAGUGACUUCUGAUCCGUAAACACCUGACAGACGACUGUAAGACUGGCACUUACACCACUGCACCUUCACUUGCUUUCUAACUCACUGCUUUCGACUGCAGACUGCUAAACUUUUCAGGGGAAGGAUCCUGUCUUACUCAUCUGGAAAGCCCAGCACACACUGUGCUGUGUGAGUAAUUCUAAUUAUAUUGAUAUAAGAAUGCUCUGAUAACAAUGCCCUUAAGGACAAGGUGCACCAGUUAACUAAGAAGUUCAGACCGGAAUGCCCGGCUCCUUAAAUACAAACAGUUGUCAUCUAUGUGCUGUAGCUGAUAGAUUGGCCUGAGGAAUGUGACCAUGUCCACCUGCAGAGUGCUUCGCUGUUUCUUUGGAUUUUUAAGUCCUGAGCUUUUAUGGCCAUCUGUGUGCAAACAGGCACUUAGCAACUAUUUCUCCCUGUAUCAGAUAGUGAGCUGCUGAAUUUCAAUGCCCCAUGGAGACACCAUCAAAGAGGCAUUUCCAGGAAUCUGCGGGAUUAGUGGGGAAGAGCUUUCACUUCUGAUGCCCAAUAAGCUUUCUGUAACUGCCAGAAAUUAGAGAAGACAUGGAAAAAGAAAAGAUUCUUGUAUUCCUGCAUUUGCUACAUUUCACCUACAUUUUAUUACUACUCAUAUUUCCCCUGCUCUCAAAUUCAGCUGUUGCGUGUACAAACCUGCGUUCACAGCUGAAAAGUUCAAGGAAGAGUCAAAGUAGCAAAUAUCUCCACCUUUCCAGUGCAUCUUAAUAACACCUUUGUUUACAUCUUUAUCUGUCAACAUUUGUAGCUUCAUAUCCUGACACUCUAGAUCUAUUUUUCUAGUUGUCUGUGGGGGAAAAAGCAGCCCUUGGAAAAUGAAGGCCUGUACCAAUCUGAGCCAACAGAGGUGAACCAAAGGCCCAGAUCCAGGGCUGCUUCAGUCUAGCAGAGACUGACAGGUGACGUGAUUGCUGCUUACAAACUGGCAAAAAGAAGUUGAAGUUUAGCAGAUAUCCUAAGAACCACAGAAAAUAGAUCUGCAAAAUACCCCUUCUAAGUCAUCUAGUUUAUCCUCCAACCCCCAUAAGAUAUGCAACGAUACAUAAGCAAUUCCUAAUGCGAGGUUGCCAGGCUUGCCUUCCUGGGCCUCCACAUGUAAAAAGAAUCAAGGUAAUUCACUACGGUUUGCUGGGCAAAAAAUGUUUUUAUAACACACAAAACAUGCUAUUCUGUAUAAAAAAAUAAAAAUAAAAUCAAGUCUUUGUACAAAAAUCAAACCACUAGAACUGGCAAAUUAAUAGUGGGUCUCUUUCUCCCCCGCGGCCGGGAGCUCAGGGCACCCUCAGCGCACAGGACAGUGAAUGUGAAUGCCGUUCUGUUUUCCCAGCAGACACUUGUCACGCUGCAGACCACACAAUGGGCAGGCAACGAGGGAUUCCGGGAAGAAUCCACUUUUAACCUUGUUCCACUACUGAGAAAUGGGCAGAAGGAGAACUUGUUUCAAAUUCACUACACAAUACCCAUAGGAGACAGAGCCAGAAGUUGUUCUGCACUCUGCCAAAACCGGUCUGCUUUUUAAAGUGUUCUGGUGGUUACAACACCGUGCCUUUUAGUUUCUAGCUGCAGUAAAGGUUAACAAAAAUUUAAAUGGUUGAGUAACAGGUUCAAAAAAAAAAAAAAAAAAAAAAAAA
Anas platyrhynchos (mallard) is the source of this 4152-nucleotide long non-coding RNA. RefSeq lists it as uncharacterized. The record is from RefSeq and is a predicted model, not a curated record. Lineage: Eukaryota; Metazoa; Chordata; Aves; Anseriformes; Anatidae.